AGUGAACGCUGGCGGUAGGCCUAACACAUGCAAGUCGAACGGCAGCACAGUAAGAGCUUGCUCUUACGGGUGGCGAGUGGCAGACGGGUGAGGAAUACAUCGGAAUCUACUUUUUCGUGGGGGAUAACGUAGGGAAACUUACGCUAAUACCGCAUACGACCUACGGGUGAAAGCAGGGGAUCUUCGGACCUUGCGCGAUUGAAUGAGCCGAUGUCGGAUUAGCUAGUUGGCGGGGUAAAGGCCCACCAAGGCGACGAUCCGUAGCCGGUCUGAGAGGAUGAUCAGCCACACUGGAACUGAGACACGGUCCAGACUCCUACGGGAGGCAGCAGUGGGGAAUAUUGGACAAAGGGCGCAAGCCUGAUCCAGUCAUACCGCGUGGGUGAAGAAGGCCUUCGGGUUGUAAAGCCCUUUUGUUGGGAAAGAAAAGCAGCAGGUUAAUACCCCGCUGUUCUGACGGUACCCAAAGAAUAAGCACCGGCUAACUUCGUG
Molecule: ribosomal RNA, 492 nt
Filed under: uncultured bacterium
Lineage: Bacteria
Description: partial 16S ribosomal RNA
Rfam family: Bacterial small subunit ribosomal RNA
Source: RNAcentral